RNAcentral lists this ribosomal RNA (528 nucleotides) under Penaeus notialis. RNAcentral's name for it is "partial 16S ribosomal RNA". The record is from RNAcentral. Lineage: Eukaryota; Metazoa; Arthropoda; Malacostraca; Decapoda; Penaeidae.
CGUUGAGAAGUUCGUUGUGCAAAUCAAUGCGUCUUGAAAAUUAAAUCUUACUAUUUUGAUUAAGAGUGGUCUACAUAUUUAAAAGUAAUAAAAACAUUUUGGGAUAUUAUAUUUCUAGUAGAAUGAAUCGAAAAAAAUUUUUAAGAGUUAUAGAAUAAAGUACUGUAAAGGAAAGAUGAAAUAAACUGAAAAGUUAGUUAAAGAAAAGUAGAGUUAAAUGCUUGUACCUUGUGUAUUAGGGAAAAUCAAAAUAAGCUUAUUAAGUUAAGUAUUCCCGAAAGAAAAAGAGCUAAUAUAGUCGAACAGUUUUCGUAUUAAUGAAAUUAUAAAGUCUAUAUUAGUAGUGAAACGCUAGUCGAUUUUUCAUAUCUGGUUGUUGGAGAAUUAAAUUAAAUUUAGCUAUUUUAAGGUAAAUAAAGCUUUAAAAUAAGAAAGAAUAGGAGGGAAAAGCUUCUUAUUCUAAAAAUAAGUAAAUUAUAAUAAAAGAAAUCAAAAUAUUACUGAAUUAGGCUUAAAAACAGCCAUAUU